Monopterus albus (swamp eel) is the source of this 1724-nucleotide long non-coding RNA. RefSeq lists it as uncharacterized. The record is from RefSeq and is a predicted model, not a curated record. The transcript is spliced from 3 exons. Lineage: Eukaryota; Metazoa; Chordata; Actinopteri; Synbranchiformes; Synbranchidae.
CUUAUUAAGCAUCUUUUUUAAUAAACUUUUAAUUGUACAUAUUUUCCCCAGCUUUUUACAUGAUAGUUGGAUAUAAAUGCAGUCCAGUAUUUACAGGCAAUAUGCAACUUAAACUUUCUCCAUAGGGAAAACACAUGUGUAUUGCUGCUUCUUCAAGUAUCUGAAUCCCUGUUAACUUUUACACAUUUGGUUUUGCUACAGUAUGAUUUCAAAUUGCAUGUUCAUAAAAUCUGGCAAUGAAAGAGAAGUUGUUUUAGCAUUUUUCUAUAGCUCAUUAAGUACAAAGUCCCUGUAGUCCUAUUGCAUCGCGAAAAAAAAAAAUAAAUUAAAAAAAUUAAGGGGUUAAAACUUUCCAAAGUGGCUGAAUGUGAUCUCAACAUGGGUAGUCAUCUGCCCCAAUAUACAGCACUGUACAUGGUCCCAGAAUAAAAUAAAAUAUUUACACUGAACAGAAGUUAUUGUCCAGAUGAAACAAGCAACAGUAAAUCUUAAAAUAUAAAAUCAGUUCUAAAUGACACUUUACAUACAUGAUAGUUUAGUAUGCGUAAUAACUUGAUAAAGUAAUUGCAUUUCUUAAAAAAAAAAAAAAAAGCUUAACCUGAUGAGUGCGCUACUCUAACAUUUCACAGAUCAGUACAUUCAGAUUAAAUAUGGAGGCCACAGUGUUGCUGUGCUAAACUGCAACUUUCCAAAUAAUCAGUAACACAGUCAUGGCAUGCACCCACAGCUGGAAAACACGUCCUACUACUACACAAGACGGCACAGAAACACACUUUACUAUAUUUUAAGGACCAUUAGGUUUUCACAUUCAGGCUCUCUAAACACUGAGUUCCCUCGCCUUGUAGAAUCAGAUUAUGUUUAGGAUUUAAGACUGCUGUCAGAGGCAUUUACAUUUGGAGACAUGUAGACAGACACACUGAUCCAAUAUGUCAAAUAUAUUUAACGUAUAUAUUAGCAGCUGUGACAACAUUAUGCUAAAACACUAACUUGUAUAUGUGCCAGUAUAACUGAAGAACAGAUACUAAAGAUGAGUAAAUUAAUGGCUAAAAACCCAACCCUGACAAAGCUGUAUAUUCUUUUAUACCAAGUCACCUUUAAUCUCUGUGUUCUUAUCAUUUCAGGGUGGUAUUCAAGACAACACUGAAAAACAGCCAGCAGGGGGAGCUAUAGCAAUAUACAACAUGACUGAAUUAUGUAGCUCCGGGUCAGGAGGUUCAGGCAUCUACAUCAGAGGCUGGAAAUUAUUUGGAGCUGGUCCAAAACCAGUGUCUGGACCAAGGCUGUCAACAGAGGGCACUGGAAGGGAGACGUCUGACAUCCCAAAUUCUUUCUGGAGGCUGACAAUGAGCCCAAACAUCGAGCUGCAGUCACAAAGAACUACCGCCGGAGAGAAGAAGAAGAACAAGGACACGUGCAGCAGAUGGCACGGCCCCCACAGAGCUGUGAUCUCAACAUCAUGGAGUCAGUCUGGGAUUACAUGGAGAGACAGAGGACACUGCGAUGCCUAAUUCCACAGGGGAACUGUGACAAGUUCUCUAUGAUGCUGGAGCCACCUUCCUGACAAGAGCCCUAAAAAACUGCACAUCAGCAUAUUGUGACCUUGUGGUCAAACCAAACACUGACUUGAUUUAGGGCUGUUUCAGUUUACUAACUUUGGAUGUAGUUGACUCACAAAUAAAACCUAUUCGUCAUUACUUUGAAAGCAUAUACAUUUUUAGUGUCUU